Molecule: ribosomal RNA, 845 nt
Filed under: uncultured eukaryote
Lineage: Eukaryota
Description: partial Bacterial small subunit ribosomal RNA
Rfam family: Bacterial small subunit ribosomal RNA
Source: RNAcentral
GGCGCACGGGUGCGUAACGCGUAUACAAUCUACCUUGUACAGGGGAAUAGCCCAGAGAAAUUUGGAUUAAUGCCCCAUAGUAUUAUGAAAUGGCAUCGUUUUAUAAUUAAAGCUUCGGCGGUACAAGAUGAGUAUGCGUUCUAUUAGCUAGAUGGUAAGGUAACGGCUUACCAUGGCUACGAUAGAUAGGGGUCCUGAGAGGGAGAUCCCCCACACUGGUACUGAGACACGGACCAGACUCCUACGGGAGGCAGCAGUGAGGAAUUUUCCGCAAUGGGCGAAAGCCUGACGGAGCAAUACCGCGUGAGGGAUGAAUGCCUUCGGGUUGUAAACCUCUUUUUUCAAGGAGGAAGUUCUGACGUGUACUUGAAGAAUAAGCAUCGGCUAACUCCGUGCCAGCAGCCGCGGUAAUACGGAGGAUGCAAGUGUUAUCCGAAAUUAUUGGGCGUAAAGAGUCUGUAGGUGGCUUUCAAAGUCUGAUGUUAAAUGUCAGGGCUUAACCCUGAACCUGCAUUAGAAACUAGUAAGCUUGAGUAGAGUCGAAGUAGAAGGAAUUUCCAGUGAAGCGGUGAAAUGCGUAGAUAUUGGAAGGAACACCAAUGGCGAAAGCAUUCUACUAGGCUCUUACUGACACUGAGAGACGAAAGCGAGGGUAGCAAAUGGGAUUAGAUACCCCAGUAGUCCUCGCUGUAAACGAUGGAUACUAAACAUUGCGUGCAUCGAUCCGCGUGGUGUUAUAGCUAACGCGUUAAGUAUCCCGCCUGGGGAGUACGCUCGCAAGGGUGAAACUUAAAGGAAUUGACGGGGGCCCGCACAAGCGGUGGAGCAUGUGGUUUAAUUCGAUG